UACGGGGGGAGCAAGCGUUGUUCGGAUUUACUGGGCGUAAAGGGCGCGUAGGCGGUCGUGACAAGUCACUUGUGAAAUCUCCGGGCUUAACUCGGAACGGUCAAGUGAUACUGUCGGACUAGAGUACAAGAAGGGGGCAACUGGAAUUCUCGGUGUAGCGGUGAAAUGCGUAGAUAUCGAGAGGAACACCUGCGGCGAAGGCGGGUUGCUGGGCUGAUAACUGACGCUGGAGGCGCGGAAAGCCCAGGGGAGCGAACGGG
Molecule: ribosomal RNA, 260 nt
Filed under: uncultured bacterium
Lineage: Bacteria
Description: partial 16S ribosomal RNA
Rfam family: Bacterial small subunit ribosomal RNA
Source: RNAcentral